Molecule: long non-coding RNA, 587 nt
Filed under: Nicotiana benthamiana
Lineage: Eukaryota; Viridiplantae; Streptophyta; Magnoliopsida; Solanales; Solanaceae
Description: long non-coding RNA (NBEN_LNC030813)
Source: RNAcentral
CGAAGACUGCUUCAAUCUCAUUUCCGUCGAAGACUCUGUUUGAAAAUUAGAAUUUGUCGGCGAAGAAUUACUGAUGUUGCUUCAACCUCACCGCCGCUGCUGAGCAACUUGAAUUUUCGUGAAUUCUGUCAAGCCUCCUUGGAUCUCAAAUUCAAGUUGCACAAACUUUGGACAUCAAUGGAAAACUCUGUCGCAUGCUACAAUUCCAAGAAAAACUACUUUAUAAGUAAGGAAAGUUGCAAUCUUUAUCUAUUUAGAAGUUUCAAAAGGAGUGAAUUCUACGGUUUUUUAAAAUAGAAGCUAAAAGAGCUAGAAUAUAAUUAAAUAUAAAUUACAAAAAAUAGAUUUUUUGAAGGGCAUGUGAGGGUAUUAUGGUAAUAGGAAUAGUAGCGUUUUGAGUCAUAAUCCCAGCAAUUUCGACGAGACGAUAUUAGGAUUGUUCUUGAACGAAGAUGACGGAGUUUGGGGCUGAGCAACUUGAACUUUUUAUUAAUAUAUUUCAAUGUAUCUCGUUGUAUUCAAUGUCCAUUUUUUUCCAUUGUAUUUCAAUGUAUCUCGUUGUAUUCCAUGUAUAUCAUUGUAUUCAC